This 481-nucleotide ribosomal RNA is filed under the name bacterium WS06_481. RNAcentral describes it as "bacterial SSU rRNA". It matches the Rfam family "Bacterial small subunit ribosomal RNA", at positions 1 to 499 of the family's 1533-position model. The record is from RNAcentral.
UAGAGUUUGAUCCUGGCUCAGGACGAACGCUGGCGGCGUGCUUAACACAUGCAAGUCGAACGGUGACAUCAGAGCUUGCUCUGGUUGAUCAGUGGCGAACGGGUGAGUAACACGUGAGUAACCUGCCCUUGACUCUGGGAUAACUCCGGGAAACCGGGGCUAAUACCGGAUACGAGACGCGACCGCAUGGUCGGCGUCUGGAAAGUUUUUCGGUCAAGGAUGGACUCGCGGCCUAUCAGCUUGUUGGUGAGGUAAUGGCUCACCAAGGCGUCGACGGGUAGCCGGCCUGAGAGGGCGACCGGCCACACUGGGACUGAGACACGGCCCAGACUCCUACGGGAGGCAGCAGUGGGGAAUAUUGCACAAUGGGCGAAAGCCUGAUGCAGCGACGCCGCGUGAGGGAUGAAGGCCUUCGGGUUGUAAACCUCUUUCAGUAGGGAAGAAGCGAAAGUGACGGUACCUGCAGAAGAAGCGCCGGCUA